UACGAAGGGGACUAGCGUUGUUCGGAAUUACUGGGCGUAAAGCGCACGUAGGCGGACGUGUCAGUCAGGGGUGAAAUCCCAGAGCUCAACUCUGGAACUGCCUUUGAUACAGCAUGUCUAGAAUCCGGUAGAGGUGGGUGGAAUUCCUAGUGUAGAGGUGAAAUUCGUAGAUAUUAGGAAGAACACCAGUGGCGAAGGCGGCCCACUGGACCGGUAUUGACGCUGAGGUGCGAAAGCGUGGGGAGCAAACAGG
This 253-nucleotide ribosomal RNA is filed under the name uncultured bacterium. RNAcentral describes it as "partial 16S ribosomal RNA". It matches the Rfam family "Bacterial small subunit ribosomal RNA", at positions 524 to 776 of the family's 1533-position model. The record is from RNAcentral.